UGCGGCGGACGGGUGAGUAACACGUGGGUAACCUGCCCAAGAGACUGGGAUAACACCUGGAAACAGAUGCUAAUACCGGAUAACAACACUAGACGCAUGUCUAGAGCUUGAAAGAUGGUACUGCUAUCACUCUUGGAUGGACCUGCGGUGCAUUAGCUAGUUGGUAAGGUAACGGCUUACCAAGGCAAUGAUGCAUAGCCGAGUUGAGAGACUGAUCGGCCACAUUGGGACUGAGACACGGCCCAAACUCCUACGGGAGGCAGCAGUAGGGAAUCUUCCACAAUGGACGAAAGUCUGAUGGAGCAACGCCGCGUGAGUGAAGAAGGGUUUCGGCUCGUAAAGCUCUGUUGGUAGUGAAGAAAGAUAGAGGUAGUAACUGGCCUUUAUUUGACGGUAAUUACUUAGAAAGUCACGGCUAACUACGUGCCAGCAGCCGCGGUAAUACGUAGGUGGCAAGCGUUGUCCGGAUUUAUUGGGCGUAAAGCGAGUGCAGGCGGUUCAAUAAGUCUGAUGUGAAAGCCUUCGGCUCAACCGGAGAAUUGCAUCAGAAACUGUUGAACUUGAGUGCAGAAGAGGAGAGUGGAACUCCAUGUGUAGCGGUGGAAUGCGUAGAUAUAUGGAAGAACACCAGUGGCGAAAGCGGCUCUCUGGUCUGCAACUGACGCUGAGGCUCGAAAGCAUGGGUAGCGAACAGGAUUAGAUACCCUGGUAGUCCAUGCCGUAAACGAUGAGUGCUAAGUGU
This 742-nucleotide ribosomal RNA is filed under the name uncultured bacterium. RNAcentral's name for it is "bacterial SSU rRNA". It matches the Rfam family "Bacterial small subunit ribosomal RNA", at positions 94 to 823 of the family's 1533-position model. The record is from RNAcentral.